GCCCUCUUAGCUCAACGGCAGAGCAUCCGACUGUCGAUCGGAAGGCCGCGGGGUCAGCACCCGCAGGGGUGA
Molecule: transfer RNA, 72 nt
Filed under: Solimonas sp. K1W22B-7
Lineage: Bacteria; Pseudomonadati; Pseudomonadota; Gammaproteobacteria; Nevskiales; Nevskiaceae
Description: tRNA-Asp
Rfam family: tRNA
About the family: Transfer RNA (tRNA) molecules are approximately 80 nucleotides in length. Their secondary structure includes four short double-helical elements and three loops (D, anti-codon, and T loops). Further hydrogen bonds mediate the characteristic L-shaped molecular structure. tRNAs have two regions of fundamental functional importance: the anti-codon, which is responsible for specific mRNA codon recognition, and the 3' end, to which the tRNAs corresponding amino acid is attached (by aminoacyl-tRNA synthetases). tRNAs cope with the degeneracy of the genetic code in two manners: having more than one tRNA (with a specific anti-codon) for a particular amino acid; and 'wobble' base-pairing, i.e. permitting non-standard base-pairing at the 3rd anti-codon position.
Source: RNAcentral